Molecule: unclassified non-coding RNA, 1539 nt
Filed under: Anthonomus grandis grandis
Lineage: Eukaryota; Metazoa; Arthropoda; Insecta; Coleoptera; Curculionidae
Description: uncharacterized LOC126737147
Source: RNAcentral
UUAAAAAAAGGUUGUCAGACUAAAAUCACAAAAAUGUCAAAAUCUUAAGUGUAGAAAAAUCAUUAAAAAAAUUUAUUCUAUAUAUGUAAAACCCAAAAAAACAUGCUAGCUGUCCACUUAGGCUUACCGAGACAAUCUGAAAUUCUUAUAAUAAUAUUCUUAGGAAUAUGCUUCCUGUCCCUGGAUUUUUCCUUAUUCCACCUAAGAUCUAGUCUGGAGGAAAUAUGGAAUACAGAACUUAAUCUGGAAAGAACUAAAUACUUAGAGACUCCCCUUAAGUAUAUAACAACUGGAGUACUACUAGCAAGAACUUUAACUUUACAUGCAUUUUUAGCUUUUUAUGUUGUAAUGUUAUGGCCGGCAAUAUUUGAAGAAAAACCAAGCCUAAUGCUACCAUGGCUUUUACUUGGCAUAAUCAGAUGCUUGAUUCUAAAUAUUAUCACUUUUGUGGUUGGCACCUAUAUUUGUCAUAAGGAAAGAGGAUUUAGUCCAAUAUGUUUUGAAUAUAUUCUUAGUCAGUUUAUUGAGCACGGGCCAUCUAUUUAUGCUUGGAUGGCAAUUUUAAACUUCUACAGAGACCUAGUUUAUGAAGACGAAACCCCUCAAUCAUCCAGAGAUUCAUUACUUUCAAACGAACAUCAUGAUAUGAGGCUUUCUUCCAGCCAUGAACAAAAUAGUCAUAAGAAAAGAUCCCGCAGCUUAUCAAGAUUAAAUCAAGACUAUUUGUAUAGUAAUAAGUUAAAAUAUUUACCAGGAGAUCCAUCGAUAGAGAAGCUGAUAGCUCAGUUAAAAAAUGAACUUAUAAAUGAAAAACCGAUUAUAAGAGAUAGAUCAAAAUCUUUUGACGGAUCCUUUACCAUAGAUGAUAAUCUCGAUGACAAAGAAGAGGCAAUUGGAGAAUCUCUUACAAUUUUAGAAAAAUCUUUAAUAUUCUUAGCAAUACCGAACUCCUAUGUCAAUACAGCUAAAGAGCAGAAAAAAAGAUAUGAUAAUAUUAUGCAGGACAUCUCUAUCAAAGAUGUAAAAGAUCUUUUAAAUGAAGAGUCCCUAACACGCUCCACGUCGCGAAUCAAUAAAAGGAUUAAGUCAAUACAAUCACAUUCUGAUACAGAAAUCCAAAAGCCAAAGAAAUGUUACUGUGUACGUACUAAAAUGCAAGAAGAAAAUUCCCAGCAAGCUCUUUUAAUCGAACAAGAAAUUGCUAAUAUUAGCUUGGAUCUAAAUACGCUUGAUAAAUUUAAAUCACAUCAAUCAGAGAAGAAGGUGUUAGAACAUAAAAUGCUUACUUGCGAUACGAAACUCGUAUAGAGUAAGAGUAGCUGAGGAUAUUAUCUUGGGUUUCAGAAAAAUGAGUUUUUACAAAAAAGCAUCAGUUUAAUUAUGAUUUUCUUCGAAGUUUUAUAUUUUAAUAACUUGCACAAAGGAAGCGAUCAAUAAGGGAGCCUAAAGAAAGUGAAGUAAGAGAAGGAGAAGAAAAGACGUUAAAACCGACAAAGAAACAAAAAAGGAAGAAAGGAACUGGUGCAAAACAAGCGAAUA